CAAGUAAGAAGGAUAGAAUGUGCGUCCGUAGCUCAGUUGGUUAGAGCACCACCUUGACAUGGUGGGGGUCGAUG
This 74-nucleotide transfer RNA is filed under the name Yersinia enterocolitica (type O:5,27) str. YE149/02. Its description in RNAcentral is "transfer RNA-Val". The stretch from base 22 to 74 matches the Rfam family "tRNA", at positions 1 to 50 of the family's 71-position model. Rfam says of the family: Transfer RNA (tRNA) molecules are approximately 80 nucleotides in length. Their secondary structure includes four short double-helical elements and three loops (D, anti-codon, and T loops). Further hydrogen bonds mediate the characteristic L-shaped molecular structure. tRNAs have two regions of fundamental functional importance: the anti-codon, which is responsible for specific mRNA codon recognition, and the 3' end, to which the tRNAs corresponding amino acid is attached (by aminoacyl-tRNA synthetases). tRNAs cope with the degeneracy of the genetic code in two manners: having more than one tRNA (with a specific anti-codon) for a particular amino acid; and 'wobble' base-pairing, i.e. permitting non-standard base-pairing at the 3rd anti-codon position. Lineage: Bacteria; Pseudomonadati; Pseudomonadota; Gammaproteobacteria; Enterobacterales; Yersiniaceae. The record is from RNAcentral.